CCUACGGGAGGCAGCAGUGAGGAAUAUUGGUCAAUGGGCGAGAGCCUGAACCAGCCAAGUCGCGUGAGGGAAGACGGUCCUAUGGAUUGUAAACCUCUUUUGCCGGGGAGCAAAAAGCGGUACGUGUACCGCAUCGAGAGUACCCGGAGAAAAAGCAUCGGCUAACUCCGUGCCAGCAGCCGCGGUAAUACGGAGGGUGCGAGCGUUAAUCGGAAUUACUGGGCGUAAAGCGCUCGUAGGCGGUAUGUCAAGUCAAGGGUGAAAUCCCCGCGCUCAACGUGGGAACUGCCUUUGAAACUGGCAAACUGGAGUGUGUGAGAGGAUAGUGGAAUUCCAGGUGUAGGAGUGAAAUCCGUAGAUAUCUGGAGGAACAUCAGUGGCGAAGGCGACUAUCUGGCACAUAACUGACGCUGAGGAGCGAAAGCGUGGGUAGCAAACAGGAUUAGAUACCCCGGUAGUC
This 460-nucleotide ribosomal RNA is filed under the name uncultured bacterium. RNAcentral's name for it is "partial 16S ribosomal RNA". It matches the Rfam family "Bacterial small subunit ribosomal RNA", at positions 338 to 795 of the family's 1533-position model. The record is from RNAcentral.